UACGGAGGGUGCAAGCGUUGCUCGGAAUUAUUGGGCGUAAAGGGUAGGUAGGUGGUCUCAUUUGUCUGGGGUGAAAGCCUUGAGCUUAACUCAAGAAGUGCCCCAGAAACGGUGAGACUGGAGUCCUGGAGAGGGUCGUGGAAUUCCCGGUGUAGCGGUGAAAUGCGUAGAGAUCGGGAGGAACACCAGAGGCGAAGGCGGCGACCUGGACAGGCACUGACGCUCAGACACGACAGCAUGGGGAGCGAACGGG
RNAcentral lists this ribosomal RNA (253 nucleotides) under uncultured bacterium. Its description in RNAcentral is "partial 16S ribosomal RNA". It matches the Rfam family "Bacterial small subunit ribosomal RNA", at positions 524 to 776 of the family's 1533-position model. The record is from RNAcentral.